GACGAACGCUGGCGGCGUGCUUAACACAUGCAAGUCGAACGGAAGGGCCCUGCUUUUGUGGGGUGCUCGAGUGGCGAACGGGUGUGUAACACGUGAGUAACCUGCCCUUGACUUUGGGAUAACUUCAGGAAACUGGGGCUAAUACCGGAUAGGAGCUCCUGCUGCAUGGUGGGGGUUGGAAAGUUUCGGCGGUUGGGGAUGGACUCGCGGCUUAUCAGCUUGUUGGUGGGGUAGUGGCUUACCAAGGCUUUGACGGGUAGCCGGCCUGAGAGGGUGACCGGCCACAUUGGGACUGAGAUACGGCCCAGACUCCUACGGGAGGCAGCAGUGGGGAAUAUUGCACAAUGGGCGGAAGCCUGAUGCAGCAACGCCGCGUGCGGGAUGACGGCCUUCGGGUUGUAAACCGCUUUCGCCUGUGACGAAGCGUGAGUGACGGUAAUGGGUAAAGAAGCACCGGCUAACUACGUG
Molecule: ribosomal RNA, 468 nt
Filed under: uncultured bacterium
Lineage: Bacteria
Description: partial 16S ribosomal RNA
Rfam family: Bacterial small subunit ribosomal RNA
Source: RNAcentral